This 445-nucleotide ribosomal RNA is filed under the name uncultured bacterium. RNAcentral describes it as "bacterial SSU rRNA". It matches the Rfam family "Bacterial small subunit ribosomal RNA", at positions 329 to 791 of the family's 1533-position model. The record is from RNAcentral.
GGCCAGACUCCUACGGGAGGCAGCAGUGGGGAAUAUUGCACAAUGGGGGGAACCCUGAUGCAGCGACGCCGCGUGAGUGAAGAAGUAUUUCGGUAUGUAAAGCUCUAUCAGCAGGGAAGAAAAUGACGGUACCUGACUAAGAAGCCCCGGCUAACUACGUGCCAGCAGCCGCGGUAAUACGUAGGGGGCAAGCGUUAUCCGGAUUUACUGGGUGUAAAGGGAGCGUAGACGGCCAUGCAAGCCUGGAGUGAAAGCCCGGGGCCCAACCCCGGGACUGCUCUGGGAACUGUGCGGCUGGAGUGCGGGAGGGGCAGGCGGAAUUCCUGGUGUAGCGGUGAAAUGCGUAGAUAUCAGGAGGAACACCGGCGGCGAAGGCGGCCUGCUGGACCGCGACUGACGUUGAGGCUCGAAAGCGUGGGGAGCAAACAGGAUUAGAUACCCUUCA